Molecule: ribosomal RNA, 1443 nt
Filed under: Staphylococcus aureus
Lineage: Bacteria; Bacillati; Bacillota; Bacilli; Caryophanales; Staphylococcaceae
Description: bacterial SSU rRNA
Rfam family: Bacterial small subunit ribosomal RNA
Source: RNAcentral
UGCAGUCGAGCGAACGGACGAGAAGCUUGCUUCUCUGAUGUUAGCGGCGGACGGGUGAGUAACACGUGGAUAACCUACCUAUAAGACUGGGAUAACUUCGGGAAACCGGAGCUAAUACCGGAUAAUAUUUUGAACCGCAUGGUUCAAAAGUGAAAGACGGUCUUGCUGUCACUUAUAGAUGGAUCCGCGCUGCAUUAGCUAGUUGGUAAGGUAACGGCUUACCAAGGCAACGAUGCAUAGCCGACCUGAGAGGGUGAUCGGCCACACUGGAACUGAGACACGGUCCAGACUCCUACGGGAGGCAGCAGUAGGGAAUCUUCCGCAAUGGGCGAAAGCCUGACGGAGCAACGCCGCGUGAGUGAUGAAGGUCUUCGGAUCGUAAAACUCUGUUAUUAGGGAAGAACAUAUGUGUAAGUAACUGUGCACAUCUUGACGGUACCUAAUCAGAAAGCCACGGCUAACUACGUGCCAGCAGCCGCGGUAAUACGUAGGUGGCAAGCGUUAUCCGGAAUUAUUGGGCGUAAAGCGCGCGUAGGCGGUUUUUUAAGUCUGAUGUGAAAGCCCACGGCUCAACCGUGGAGGGUCAUUGGAAACUGGAAAACUUGAGUGCAGAAGAGGAAAGUGGAAUUCCAUGUGUAGCGGUGAAAUGCGCAGAGAUAUGGAGGAACACCAGUGGCGAAGGCGACUUUCUGGUCUGUAACUGACGCUGAUGUGCGAAAGCGUGGGGAUCAAACAGGAUUAGAUACCCUGGUAGUCCACGCCGUAAACGAUGAGUGCUAAGUGUUAGGGGGUUUCCGCCCCUUAGUGCUGCAGCUAACGCAUUAAGCACUCCGCCUGGGGAGUACGACCGCAAGGUUGAAACUCAAAGGAAUUGACGGGGACCCGCACAAGCGGUGGAGCAUGUGGUUUAAUUCGAAGCAACGCGAAGAACCUUACCAAAUCUUGACAUCCUUUGACAACUCUAGAGAUAGAGCCUUCCCCUUCGGGGGACAAAGUGACAGGUGGUGCAUGGUUGUCGUCAGCUCGUGUCGUGAGAUGUUGGGUUAAGUCCCGCAACGAGCGCAACCCUUAAGCUUAGUUGCCAUCAUUAAGUUGGGCACUCUAAGUUGACUGCCGGUGACAAACCGGAGGAAGGUGGGGAUGACGUCAAAUCAUCAUGCCCCUUAUGAUUUGGGCUACACACGUGCUACAAUGGACAAUACAAAGGGCAGCGAAACCGCGAGGUCAAGCAAAUCCCAUAAAGUUGUUCUCAGUUCGGAUUGUAGUCUGCAACUCGACUACAUGAAGCUGGAAUCGCUAGUAAUCGUAGAUCAGCAUGCUACGGUGAAUACGUUCCCGGGUCUUGUACACACCGCCCGUCACACCACGAGAGUUUGUAACACCCGAAGCCGGUGGAGUAACCUUUUAGGAGCUAGCCGUCGAAGGUGGGACAAAUGAUUGGGG